GCGGAGGUUGUCGAGCUUGGUCAAAGGCACCAGAUUCAGGGUCUGGUCCCGUAGGGGUUCGGGAGUUCAAAUCUCCCCCUCCGCA
RNAcentral lists this transfer RNA (85 nucleotides) under Thermoplasmatales archaeon. Its description in RNAcentral is "tRNA-Leu". It matches the Rfam family "tRNA". From Rfam's summary of the family: Transfer RNA (tRNA) molecules are approximately 80 nucleotides in length. Their secondary structure includes four short double-helical elements and three loops (D, anti-codon, and T loops). Further hydrogen bonds mediate the characteristic L-shaped molecular structure. tRNAs have two regions of fundamental functional importance: the anti-codon, which is responsible for specific mRNA codon recognition, and the 3' end, to which the tRNAs corresponding amino acid is attached (by aminoacyl-tRNA synthetases). tRNAs cope with the degeneracy of the genetic code in two manners: having more than one tRNA (with a specific anti-codon) for a particular amino acid; and 'wobble' base-pairing, i.e. permitting non-standard base-pairing at the 3rd anti-codon position. Lineage: Archaea; Methanobacteriati; Thermoplasmatota; Thermoplasmata; Thermoplasmatales. The record is from RNAcentral.